This is a non-coding RNA of Coturnix japonica (Japanese quail), 1942 nucleotides long. NCBI's taxonomy places the organism in Eukaryota, Metazoa, Chordata, Aves, Galliformes, Phasianidae. The record is from RefSeq and is a predicted model, not a curated record.
UGAGGUGCAUCACAGCAGACUCUGAGCAAUCUCCCAGGCAAGGAGCUCCCUUCAGGCACUGGGAGUGAUGCAGAAAUGCCCCCUGACUGUGCUCUGUAUGAGGAGAAGUGCUGCUGAGCUGGCAUUGACAUUCGGAGAGGAUGAUGUUGUCGCUUUUCUGGUUUCCCAUGCUCUGCUGUGAAAAACUCUGAUUUACAGGACCAGGUCACUGUUGUCAUUCGUUACACUGAGAGGUUUGCUAACAGAGCACAGAGGUUUGUUGUUGUAGCAGAAAUGCCGAGUCACAGCCUGAAGCACUGAUGGAGCAACUGGUGGGAAGGCAAGGCCAGCCCAGGGGCCUCAUUUAAGUGCUGAUAGUGGAGGUAAGGGGCCUUUGUUGGAUAUUCCUGCCUACUUGAGGCCUUCUAAAGACUUCUGGAUUCUGUGGGAGCAGCUGCCCCAUCCAGUGCCCCAAGGUUGUGGGAUGUGGUGUGUGGAUGUGGGGCUGGUGGAGAACACAAGCCAUCAAAAUGUGCUUCCAUAACAAAGGCCACAGGCCUAAUGUGUGGCAUAUUAUUAUACAGCACAGUCAUUUCCAGAAGUUACAGGCUGGAACUUGUGCACAAGAGCAUCUGGAUGUUGAACUUACAGGUGAUUUCCAUAAAGAAUAGCACAGGUGUGUUACCUGUGGAAUAUCAUGAUGCUGAAGGGUGGUGAACUGGGAGAGCCUAUAGACAUCAUCAGGAAGUAGAAGAGAACAUACGCUGUGAGUGCUCAUGAGAAGGCUCAAGAGGAUCUUCUCCAUUCCUGUAUUUGUACACAAUAAUAUGACAAAGGAACAGAAGCCAGGUUCCUCGUGGUGCCCGGAGCAGGGCAGGAGGCACUGGAGUGCAGGAAAUUAAUGUUAUAGACUUCUUUGGAGUGAGUCAAAUGCUGCCAUGGGUUGCACAGAGGUGGUGGAGGGAACAUCCUUGAAGAUAUCCAAAGCCCAGCAGUUGGGCACUGUGACACUUACCAGUGUAACUAAAUGCCUGUUGGUGGCUGACAGCAUCCCCGUGUGUGUGCAGUGCUCUGCUGGAGAUGUACCCUGGUUUCAAGCAAAGAGCUGUUUUAACCAGUUUUGUUAAUGAGACUGGUAAUAAGUAAUCUUCCUUUAAUUCAUUCUUUCUCCUUCACAAUAUAUACUUUACACACACUUGCUAAGAGAAAAAACCAUCUCAGAGGAACUAAAAUCCUCCUUCUCUGUAUGGAUUUUUCUGAAGUUCCUUAGCAGGUGGUGCUUUAUGGAACGAACAGCCACUUUGUUUAAUAAUAAAACUAAAUCAACUUGGUUCAAAGUGUAAGGAUUAAUCCCUCCCACUCACUGCUCAAGGUGUUUUCAUCGCUGUGCUUCUCCUUUCUUCCAGCUUGUUUCUUGUUGCACUGUGCUGCACCAAGAGACUGCUUUACCCCACCUGUGUACAGUACAGAAAACACUAAUCACUGCACAGUUCUAAUGUCAAAAUUGGUACUGAAGCAAAAGAAUCGGCGUUAAACAGCUGACUUCUUUCCAGAGAAUGGCUCUGAAUACAGAUUAAAUGAAUUGAUGUGGCAGUGGGGGUGCUGGGAAGCAGUGGUGCUGUGAGGUGCUCGAGGGGGCUAUAGAAUGAAGUAUCACACAGGAGGAUAUGGGCUGCGUGGGGGAGGUGGGUUUUUGUGAGUGCUGUAUUUUGGCACAUUGUGGACCCCCAACUGCUGCCCAGCUCACCCCAAAGCCCAGCCUGGCUGGUAGCAGGAAGAGGAGGUGACUGAUAGGGAUUGAUCAUGGCGUGCUGCUGAGGGCAUUGCUGGGAGACGGUUGAUGCUAUUGACUCUGCUGUCACUAUUACUGCGCUGAAGAGUUGUUUGGAGCCCCUUUGUCAGCGUUUACAAUCCAUAAGGUUCUAUCAUGCUCAGUGCUAUCAAUAACAGUGCUUUAAAACCA